RNAcentral lists this ribosomal RNA (705 nucleotides) under Vibrio sp. BTPS6. RNAcentral's name for it is "bacterial SSU rRNA". It matches the Rfam family "Bacterial small subunit ribosomal RNA", at positions 113 to 813 of the family's 1533-position model. Lineage: Bacteria; Pseudomonadati; Pseudomonadota; Gammaproteobacteria; Vibrionales; Vibrionaceae. The record is from RNAcentral.
AUGCCUGGGAAAUUGCCCUGAUGUGGGGGAUAACCAUUGGAAACGAUGGCUAAUACCGCAUGAUGCCUACGGGCCAAAGAGGGGGACCUUCGGGCCUCUCGCGUCAGGAUAUGCCCAGGUGGGAUUAGCUAGUUGGUGAGGUAAGGGCUCACCAAGGCGACGAUCCCUAGCUGGUCUGAGAGGAUGAUCAGCCACACUGGAACUGAGACACGGUCCAGACUCCUACGGGAGGCAGCAGUGGGGAAUAUUGCACAAUGGGCGCAAGCCUGAUGCAGCCAUGCCGCGUGUGUGAAGAAGGCCUUCGGGUUGUAAAGCACUUUCAGUAGGGAGGAAGGUGGUAGUGUUAAUAGCGCUAUCAUUUGACGUUACCUACAGAAGAAGCACCGGCUAACUCCGUGCCAGCAGCCGCGGUAAUACGGAGGGUGCGAGCGUUAAUCGGAAUUACUGGGCGUAGAGCGCAUGCAGGUGGUUUGUUAAGUCAGAUGUGAAAGCCCCGGGCUCAACCUGGGAAUUGCAUUUGAGACUGGCAAACUAGAGUACUGUAGAGGGGGGUAGAAUUUCAGGUGUAGCGGUGAAAUGCGUAGAGAUCUGAAGGAAUACCGGUGGCGAAGGCGGCCCCCUGGACAGAUACUGACUCUCAGAUGCGAAAGCGUGGGGGAGCAAACAGGAUUAGAUACCCUGGUAGUCCACGCCGUAAACGAUGUC